UACGUAGGGUGCGAGCGUUGUCCGGAAUUAUUGGGCGUAAAGGGCUCGUAGGCGGUCUGUCACGUCGGGAGUGAAAACUCAGGGCUUAACCCUGAGCCUGCUUCCGAUACGGGCAGACUAGAGGUAUGCAGGGGAGAACGGAAUUCCUGGUGUAGCGGUGAAAUGCGCAGAUAUCAGGAGGAACACCGAUGGCGAAGGCAGAUCUCUGGGCCGUAACUGACGCUGAGGAGCGAAAGCAUGGGGAGCGAACAGG
RNAcentral lists this ribosomal RNA (253 nucleotides) under uncultured bacterium. RNAcentral describes it as "partial 16S ribosomal RNA". It matches the Rfam family "Bacterial small subunit ribosomal RNA", at positions 524 to 776 of the family's 1533-position model. The record is from RNAcentral.